AUCGACGGCCAUAGCCUCCUCAAAGUACCGUAACUAGGAGAGCGCUCGGUUAGUACCAGGGUGGGGGACCACCUGGGAAUCCCGGGUGCCGUCGUUU
Molecule: ribosomal RNA, 97 nt
Filed under: Cryptococcus amylolentus CBS 6039
Lineage: Eukaryota; Fungi; Basidiomycota; Tremellomycetes; Tremellales; Cryptococcaceae
Source: RNAcentral